Non-coding RNA from Truncatella angustata, 93 nucleotides. NCBI's taxonomy places the organism in Eukaryota, Fungi, Ascomycota, Sordariomycetes, Amphisphaeriales, Sporocadaceae. The record is from the annotation of a RefSeq genome assembly.
ACCCGCUUGGUGUAGUGGUUAGCACUAUGUUCUUAUACUUCUUCAGUUUUAAGAGAUAUGCAUGGGUCGCCAGUUCGAUCCUGGCAGUGGGUA